RNAcentral lists this unclassified non-coding RNA (378 nucleotides) under uncultured fungus. RNAcentral describes it as "partial contains 5.8S ribosomal RNA and internal transcribed spacer 2". The stretch from base 1 to 133 matches the Rfam family "5.8S ribosomal RNA", at positions 22 to 154 of the family's 154-position model. The record is from RNAcentral. Lineage: Eukaryota; Fungi.
UGGCUCUCGCAUCGAUGAAGAACGCAGCGAAAUGCGAUAAGUAAUGUGAAUUGCAGAAUUCAGUGAAUCAUCGAAUCUUUGAACGCACCUUGCGCUCCUUGGUAUUCCGAGGAGCAUGCCUGUUUGAGUGUCUUGAAGUCAUCAACCCCUUCCGUUUCGUGCGGACUGGGUUGGAGCUGGGGGCUCUGCUGCCGAGAGGCGGCUCCCCUCAAAUGCAUCGGUUGGGCCUGUGGGUCAAACUCGACUGGGCGUUGUACCAUCCUCGCUCGACAGAGACGUUUCCCCUGUUGUGCCCUUCCCCGACCUGCCUUCUCAGAGUGGCGGUCACAAGCGCAAGCUUUGAAAUCUGACCUCAAAUCAGGUAGGACUACCCGCUGA